This is a long non-coding RNA of Triticum aestivum (bread wheat), 2888 nucleotides long. RefSeq lists it as uncharacterized. The record is from RefSeq and is a predicted model, not a curated record. The transcript is spliced from 7 exons. NCBI's taxonomy places the organism in Eukaryota, Viridiplantae, Streptophyta, Magnoliopsida, Poales, Poaceae.
CGCCGCCGGCCAUGGCUGGGAGCGAGGAGGCGGUAGAGGUCGGUGCACGGACGAAUCGAGUCGAGUCGAGGAAGACGGAGAAAGUCGGGGACGGGUACACACCUACGGGAUGUGCUAUGGGGGCUUGGACAAAUAUAAGAGACGUUGUGGGCCUGGCCCAAGCUUUGGUUGCAUCUGGAAAGGCUCUGAUCAAGUUAGUAGCCCAAGCAAAACCGACAUACGUUUCCCCCCCAAAAAAAAAGCAAUACCGACAUACGGAAUUCCCUAUUUGACGCAUUUUGCGUCAAACUGUCGGGGCACCGCACACCCUUCGCCCGUAUUUGGGCCGGCCUUUUUUUCCUGUUUCUUGUUUCGACCGACCACGUCUGUUUCCUCGUUCCCCUUUCUUCCUCGUGCGACUGCUUUGUCUCGAUUCCUUCUCUGCUUCGUCCUCUCGAUUCCUCUUCCUUCCUCUCGAUUCUUCGCCGUGGUCUUGAUUCCUUCCUCCUUCGUGCAUCUCGGGGCGCUAGGUGCUCUGGUUCUUCAUCUUCUCUCCCCUUCCUGCAAAUCUCUGGGAUGGAAGUUAGGGUUAGCUGAUUUGUUCUCUGUUGUUGGUAGACGGUGUUUUGGCAACCAAAUUCUGAGGAAUAACACUUCAAUUUUGUGAUAAUUGGUCGAGGUUCGGUUGAGAUCUAACAUAUCAUAGUUCUUCUACAGAUUUGUAGGUAAAUCAUUACAGCAAGUACUUGUCAACUAUUUUCUAUUCUGGUGCUUGACAAUUUUGUUCCUAACCCUUUUUGUGAAUAUGCUUUAAGAUGUUGUCGAUACUUCUACAGAAGUGAACGAGCAUGUCCCUUCAAUUGUGUAGAUGCUCUGAAUUUUCCAUGUAUAUACUUAUGGACCGGCAAUAGUUGUGAAGAUACUGCUGUAGUUUUCUUCUAGCUACUACUGUAAAUGAAUCUCGCUUAGUUUUUCUGGUAAAUGCUCAUAGAUAUAGGAGGUGUUCUUCUCUUGAAAAUCUUAAGUAACCUAGUGUUCAUUUCAACAUUAUUUCGUUUCCAUGCAAAUCAUAUCAUUUUCUAGUUCAUAAAUAGUCAUUACCACUUUUAAUAUGAUUAUCUUCAUGAUACAUUCUACUCUGGUUUUGAAUGUUCAGUUAAUUAAUUUGAAUCACCUCCUAGUUUGUUUGGUAGCUUAAUUAGCAUCCACCUUUCUAAUCAGCAAGUUUUGUGAUGUUAAUUUAACUACGUGUGUACACUGUUUAGCUAACAGUAACUACUUGCUUCCCUAGAAAAAACACCAGCUAGUUGGUUGAUCUGAUUUGCCUGCAUUAUUACUGUACUGAAUUCUUCAUAGACCUUGUUACAUUUGAUACAAAUUAUUUCUGCACUUAGUCGAGUAUUUUUUCCUGUUCAACGAUUUUAGGAAAUCAUUCCUCAAUCUCGGUAGAUUGUUUUCAGAAAGGAAAGGAGUAGUGACAAGUAGUUGAUUACAUUGAUGUGUACUUCCAUUUUUGUCUCAUCAAUGUAUACGUCAGAAAGCAUUCAGUUGUAUAGUUCAUAUAACAGAAUUUAUACCUUGUGGGCAUGUGCUCUAAAUGAUUGCAUUUCUGCUUUUCUUGUUGUUUUCAUGUGUAUCUCACACCACAAUAUUGCAUCAGAAAUAGAGAAGUUGUUUUGAACCAUAUAUUCAUGAUGUUCCUGUUUUGUUUGCUGUCUUCGGGUACUAUAUUCGAAUCACUAUCUAUUUUAUCACGAAUAGAUUGUUGAUUCAGCUUCUAAUAUUAAUUUCGUGCAAAACUGAAUUAAGCAUGAAUAUAACAUUUUUCAAUCCAAGUUUUUCUAAAAAAAUUGAAAAAAAAUCUGAAUCCUAUAGCAAAACUACAGUCACAUAAACUAAUUUCAUUUCAAAAACAAAGCUCUGGUCCAUGAGCAAAAUAACAAAACUAGCACAUUAACCCAGUAGUAGAAGAUGAAACUUUCAAGAAGUGGCGAUUAUUUUUUUACUACUUCUUGGUAUUCUUUUUGAAGGGGAGCCUUGGCGCAGUGGUAAAGCUGCUGCCUUGUGACCAUGAGGUCACGGGUUCAAGUCCUGAAAACAACCUCUUACAGUAAUGUAGGGAAAGGCUGCGUACAAUAGACCCAAAGUGGUCGGACCCUUCCCCAGACCCUGCGCAAGCGGGAGCUACAUGCACUGGGGCUGCCCUUGGUACGACUCAGGAAUUUUCCUUCUUCAGUAUCUUAGCAAGUACAAAGGUCUCGGAAUGGAAGGUUUCUCCAAUGAUGAUUUACAAGCUGUACGAGAGAAAUUCCUUUUUGAGAUCAUAACUUGCAAGGACAAUGAAAUUCAGCUUCCAUUCGUAACUUCUUUCCUACAGAGACAUGGUUUUCGCAUUUUCAAGUGAAGCAUUCAACAUGAUUUCUGCAUUUGAACAAAGCUUUUAGGUAUUGAUUGCCAUUCGUUACUGUCAAGUAUAAUGGAAUUUGCACUACAAGAAGUUCUCCUGAAUUUGCACUGAAAGGAAAAAAAACAUGGCGAAAAUGCUUCAUCCUAGGAAAAAACCAUUUGUUUUUGUUUCCUAGCACAGUUUAGCGGCCGCAAUGCCAGAAUUUUUCCCAACUCAAAGGAAGAGUACUAUGACGAAACUGUUCUGCUGUUUCUUUAUCAUGGUUCCCCAGUGAUACUGUCUUGUAUUAUUUUCACUUGUAAAGAAGGUUUAAAUCCCCCCGCAAAAAAAAGGUUUAAAUCUGCAGAAUAAGUUUGUAAAGGAAGCAGUUCCACGACCAGUAGAAACAGCGAGGAACAACAGAUAAUUGCCCUCUUCUAGUGUUUUAUAUGAAUACAAGGAAAAUUUCACCAUUCUUCUACUUUUUCCCAACUGAAGGGAAAUGAAGAAAUUGUUGUCUUAA